GAUCAUGGCUCAGGAUGAACGCUGGCGGCGUGCUUAACACAUGCAAGUCGAACGAAGCGCCUUGGACAGAUUCUUCGGAUGAAGUCUUUGGUGACUGAGUGGCGGACGGGUGAGUAACGCGUGGGUAACCUGCCUUGGAGUGGGGAAUAACACAGUGAAAACUGUGCUAAUACCGCAUAAUGCAUUUGGGUCGCAUGAUUCUGAAUGCCAAAGAUUUAUCGCU
This 223-nucleotide ribosomal RNA is filed under the name uncultured bacterium. RNAcentral's name for it is "partial 16S ribosomal RNA". It matches the Rfam family "Bacterial small subunit ribosomal RNA", at positions 15 to 219 of the family's 1533-position model. The record is from RNAcentral.